CGCCAACCGGGACCCUGGGAUCCUGCCCGGAGAGGAGCGCGUCCGUGCCCCGGGACCCCCCCGACCCCGCACUGCUCCCAUCCCAGGCAGGUCUCCAGGAACUCCUCGAAGGUCACCACGCCGUCGCCGUUCCUGUCCAUCUUCUGCGGGGCAAGAGACGGGGCUCGGCGGGGACUGUCCCGGACCCGGUGCCGGUGCCGGUGCCGGCCCCGCUGUGUUUGCUGGGUCGAGGCGGGGCGUCCUCACCUGGAAGAAGAGCUCCACGUGCUCGGCGGGCGCGCUGUCCCGCGGCGCGGGCCGGGUGCAGCGCCCCAUCAUGUCGUAGAUGGACUUCAUGAUCUGCAGCAUCUCCUGAGCGGGGACAGAGCGGGGCUGUGGUGACGGGGACACCCCCCGCUGAGGGCACCCCUGUCCCCAGCGCCCACCCCCUGGGGUGCUCCCAGCCUCGAGUCACCUCCUUGGUGAUGCAGCCGUCUUUAUUGAUGUCGUAGAGGUUAAACGCCCAUCGCAGCUUCUGCUGCACCGUCCCUCGCAGCAGCACCGAGAGCCCCAGGACAAAAUCCUGCCGGAGGAACCGCGGUUGUGAGCGGGAACAUCCCGAUGAGACCGCAGGGAUGGGACCCUCAUCUCCCCCCCUCCUCCGGCGCUGCCACCGGAUGCCCCGGUGGGAAUUGUGUGUUUUAUCCCUAUUGAUCCCGUUGCCACUCUCGCUCGCAGCUAUUUUUAAUCCCCGCGGUGAAGCCGGUGCCGCAGUGCCGGCAUCAACCCCGGCACCGGCUCCACACAGAGCGGAGCUGCGAUCCUGGAGGAAGAGCUCAUGGAUCACCUGGAAGCAGAGGGCCCCGUUGCGGUCAGCGUCGAAGGCGUCGAACAAGAAGCGCGCGUAGGUGCUGGCGUCUGCGGGGGGAGCGGGAGCCGGUGAAGCCGCCGCAUCCCGGCCCCCGUUCCCAUCGGCAUCGCCCGCCGCCACUCACCGCCUUGCGGGAAGAACCGGGAGUAGAUGAGCGUGAAGGUCUCCUCGUCCACGAGGCCGCUGGGACACUCCUGGCAGGGAAGCGGGCGCCCGGUGAGGCCGUGGCUCGGGCGCAGCCGCGCUCGGGGUGAGGGCCCCCCCGACUCACGCUCUUGAAGCCGCGGUACAGGGAUCGCAGCUCCCGCUUGGAGAACUUGGUCCGUGCCAGCAGCUGCUCCAGCUCCUCUGGUUGGUGCCGCGCGGCCGCCAGCUCCAGCUCGGCAUCGCCGCCGUCUGCCCCCAGCAGUGGGGCUUCUCCGCAUCAUUCCAGCCUCAUCCCACCCAGAUCCUCCCCCCCACCCCCCCCCCCCGGACCUGCUGGGGGACCCCAAACACCCCUUGUGCUGGGGGGAAAAGGGGCAGCUCCGGGUUGAACAUCCCGAGGGGAAGGCGCCCGAUCCCAGGGUUUCCCCUGGAGCCUCCAGCAGCGCAUUCCCGGGGUGUGGAACAUCUCGCUCCGGCCCCGCUAAUGCUGCCUCCCGCCCCGGCGGAAGGUAAUUAAUAAAUGAUGCCUCAUUAAUAA
Molecule: long non-coding RNA, 1535 nt
Organism: Strigops habroptila (Kakapo)
Lineage: Eukaryota; Metazoa; Chordata; Aves; Psittaciformes; Psittacidae
Exons: 2
Source: RefSeq, a predicted model, not a curated record